Long non-coding RNA from Rhipicephalus sanguineus (brown dog tick), 181 nucleotides. RefSeq lists it as uncharacterized. The transcript has 3 exons. The record is from RefSeq and is a predicted model, not a curated record. Lineage: Eukaryota; Metazoa; Arthropoda; Arachnida; Ixodida; Ixodidae.
GAUGCACACUACCGCAAAACGCCUUCCCCCACGGCUAACGGACACGGCUACCUUCAAGCGCUUAUGAGGCGCAUUCGUUUAAAGAUUUCAGACCUUCAAGUAAGAUCAACCAAGAAACUUCAGUCGAAAUUCGUGCAGUAUCUCAAAAAACUUUACCUUGAGCAACAAUCGGCUGCCCCGG